CCCUUAGAUGUCCUGGGCUGCACGCGCGCUACACUGAUGUGUCCAGUAAGCACCUAACCUAUUCCGAGAGGAGCGGGUAACCUUAGCAAAGCACAUCGUGAUGGGGAUAGAUUAUUGCAAUUAUUAGUCUUGAACGAGGAAUUCCUAGUAAGCACAAGUCAUCAGCUUGUGUUGAUUACGUCCCUGCCCUUUGUACACACCGCCCGUCGCACCUACCGAUUGAAUGGUUCGGUGAAGAUCUCGGACUUCGAUAUUUAUUCUUUAUUGAGUUUAUAUUGUGGGAAGUUAUCUAAACCUCAUCAUUUAGAGGAAGGUGAAGUCGUAACA
RNAcentral lists this ribosomal RNA (327 nucleotides) under uncultured eukaryote. RNAcentral describes it as "partial 18S ribosomal RNA". It matches the Rfam family "Eukaryotic small subunit ribosomal RNA", at positions 1470 to 1796 of the family's 1831-position model. The record is from RNAcentral.